Loxodonta africana (African savanna elephant) is the source of this 105-nucleotide small nuclear RNA. Lineage: Eukaryota; Metazoa; Chordata; Mammalia; Proboscidea; Elephantidae. The record is from Ensembl.
GUGCUCACUUCAGCAGCACAUAUACUAAACUUGGAACGAUAGAGAAGAUUAGCAUGGCCCCUGCACGAGGAGGACAGGCAGAUUCGUGAAGUGUUCCGUAUUUUU